RNAcentral lists this ribosomal RNA (551 nucleotides) under Salmonella enterica. RNAcentral describes it as "partial 23S ribosomal RNA". It matches the Rfam family "Bacterial large subunit ribosomal RNA", at positions 2392 to 2925 of the family's 2925-position model. Lineage: Bacteria; Pseudomonadati; Pseudomonadota; Gammaproteobacteria; Enterobacterales; Enterobacteriaceae. RNAcentral also lists the same sequence under 1 other name. The record is from RNAcentral.
AGCAGGUGCGAAAGCAGGUCAUAGUGAUCCGGUGGUUCUGAAUGGAAGGGCCAUCGCUCAACGGAUAAAAGGUACUCCGGGGAUAACAGGCUGAUACCGCCCAAGAGUUCAUAUCGACGGCGGUGUUUGGCACCUCGAUGUCGGCUCAUCACAUCCUGGGGCUGAAGUAGGUCCCAAGGGUAUGGCUGUUCGCCAUUUAAAGUGGUACGCGAGCUGGGUUUAGAACGUCGUGAGACAGUUCGGUCCCUAUCUGCCGUGGGCGCUGGAGAACUGAGGGGGGCUGCUCCUAGUACGAGAGGACCGGAGUGGACGCAUCACUGGUGUUCGGGUUGUCAUGCCAAUGGCACUGCCCGGUAGCUAAAUGCGGAAGAGAUAAGUGCUGAAAGCAUCUAAGCACGAAACUUGCCCCGAGAUGAGUUCUCCCUGAGACUUUAGAUCUCCUGAAGGAACGUUGAAGACGACGACGUUGAUAGGCCGGGUGUGUAAGCGCAGCGAUGCGUUGAGCUAACCGGUACUAAUGAACCGUGAGGCUUAACCUUACAACGCCGAAG